Molecule: long non-coding RNA, 3657 nt
Filed under: Theobroma cacao (cacao)
Lineage: Eukaryota; Viridiplantae; Streptophyta; Magnoliopsida; Malvales; Malvaceae
Description: long non-coding RNA (TCAC_LNC003221)
Source: RNAcentral
UGGCCAAAGCAAGAACAAAGGAAGAAAAAGGAAGAACAAGAACCCUAGGGUGAAAAUUCAAGAGAAAAUUGGUGGAUUUCAAGUAAUCAAGCAAUCAAAGGUAAAAUUUCUUGAUUUUGACUUGUGAUCUACCUUUCCCAUGCAUUAUUUUGCAUUUUCCAUGGUUGAAUCACAAGAUAUCAUGAAGGAUAGUGUGCUGAUCAAACCCUAGGAAAGAGGUUUUGAUGCUUGAUUUAGUUAGAUUUCAAUGUAUUUUAGUGUUUUUAGUUGAUUGGUGAUAUGUAGCAUGAAAAUCAAACAAGAAAAAUUCAUGUUCUCCCAUCACCCAUCAUUGGCCAAAUUCUCCAUGUAGAAUAUUGAUGAUGAUUUUGAUUUUAUUUCAAGUGAUUUGGUUAGGAAUUAAUGAUUUAUGGUGUGAGAAUCAAGUAGGAAAAAUUAUAGUGUUGACACACCCACCAUGGCCAAAUUUCUCAAGAGAAAAUGUGAGAAUGAUUUUACCAUAUCUCAAGUUAUUUAAUUUGUGUUUGAUGAUUUGAAGUAUUGGGAGAAAAAUAAAAUUAUUUGGAGUUGAAUUGGAUGUAUUGGCCAAUUAAUCGAGUGAUAGAUCGAAUUAGGCCAAUACCGUUUAAUUUAGGUACACAAUUGAAUUUGUGUAAAACACCAUGUUUAGACAAUAAUCCGAACAAUUUGCAUCCCAUUUCAUACAUUAGUAUAAAGCCUGAAUUGGUUUUAUAACAAUUUAGUACAAUGUAGUGAAUGGCUUAUUAUGCAUUAUGUGUAGGUGGUGAGCAUUCUGGCAAAAGUAAAGAGAUAGUACCCGAGGAUCAAGAAUCGGAAUACUUGGAAUUCAACUCCCGAAAUAGUGAGUAACCCUAUCAUCAUCUUAAUUAUCUAAAGUAUGCUUUAUUCGAUUCUGUGAAUUUUAUGGAAAAUGAAUUAAAUGAUUAAUUUUUUGAUUUUAUAAACAAAAUGUGAUUUAAUGAAAUGAUUUUAUAAAAUUGUUUUUAAAAUUGAAUGAUGGUUUGAAAAUAGAGUAAUUGGAGAUUGUUUUUGUGUGUUGUAAAUUCAUGAUUCUAAUUGAUUGGCUUAUGGCAAUAUUGGCAUGAAUGGUUGAUUUGAUAAAUGUGUUGGAAAUGUAUAAAUUGUUGAUCUGCCUAGAAAGGCUGUAAAAUAAAAUAAUUGUCAUGUCAUGCUAUUGCAAAUUUUAUUGUAUGAUGGGUUUAGCUUGCUGUAGUGGGUGGGUUUUCUGUGGAUCAGCCUAUUGGAGGGGCAUGAAAUCUCGUUAUAUUUUACUUCGGUUGGAGAGGCGAGUAGGGUAACUCCCGAGGUAUAACUUUAGAGUUUCACUCCACGCAAAACCACCACGUGAGGGUGAACUCAGCCAACGCCAAGGAAUGGCUAUAUUUUCAAAAUAAAAACAUGAUUUAUGCGUACAUAACUUUUUAACAGGUUUGGCAGACUCGGUUGGGAUAGCCCUCGAUCAAGGCAUCCCUGAUAACUGGGUAUGAGAAUGAUUUUGGCACGAGCCAAAGUUUUAAGAAAUUCAUAAGCCAUGUUGAUUACUCGAUUUAUAUGAAUUGAUUUUAUUUGGUUGAAACAAGUUGAAAGGUGAUGAAUUAUAGUAUGUUAAACUAUUUUAUCUAUCUCCAUUCACUCGGCUUUAGAUAUUUUAGAUGGUAUUUGUUUACUCACUGGGAUUAUAUAAUCUCACCACUCUCCUUUCCACCCAUUCAGGCUCAGAAUAGGCUGUAGAUAGCUGAUUUCAUCGAGGUUACCAUUGGAUUUGCAUCCUCCAAACUGUAGGUUCACAGUCUUCCUUACUUUUAGUUAUUCGAGGGCCCACUGGUUACUGUAAAUUAAAUUAAAUACUCUGGCUUACUGUAUUACAGUAUGUAUGAAUUUAUUUUGCUUUUACGCUGCUACAAAAAUUAUUUACGUAUAACUCUUAAAAUAUUGUUUUAUAAGAAAAUAAAAUAUUUUAUUGAAUAUUUCUUUUAUUUUUUUAUUAUAUCCAAAUAAUCAUAAUUUCAUUUUAAAUGAAGGUUUUAGAUGUUUAAACUUAUUUUUUAUUAUGAAUUAUGUGUUUUGUACUCACAUAGUACAUUUUUAGCGGAUUUCGAGAUUUUUGAGGAAAAAUGACCAAAAUGCUCUUGUGAGAAAAAAAAUGUUUUUCUAUUGCUUUGAUUUGGAAAUAGUUUAUAAUCUCUCAAAACAUAAUUUUAGUGACUAAUACUCACAAGGGAAGCGAGAAAAACUAAUGUUAAGCCUUGCGAGGUUUCGAUUGACAUUUCGAGUAAUAAAUGUCUAUCGGGAGGUCACGGCAGUUGUCACGAGCUUGAUGGGAGUUCCGAGUUGUGACAGUUUUUCUAUAAAAUGCAUGGGAACAAGCCUUUAGUGAAAUAUUUUUGGUGAUGUGGAACAUGAUUAUGAUGAAUCUCUGUACCUUUAUAUGAUGCUGAUGUGUAUAUAAAAAUAUAUGAUAUGUAUUGCUAAGUAAUUUUGUGUAAUUGAUGUAACCGUGCAUGUGCGGAGUGGGCAGUGCAUAUGCCAGUUGAAUGAUGAUGUUGUGACAACUACAAUCGUGCAUAUGCGGAGUGAGUAGUGCAUAUGCCGGUCGAAUGAUGAUGUUGUGACACUUACAACUGUGCAUGUGCGGAGUGGGCAGUGCACAUGCCGGUAAUGAUGUGCGUGUGGGGAGUGCAUGUUGGCUGAAAGAGGUGGUGGUAUUCGUGUUUAUAUAUAUAUAUAUACAUGCGUAGUAGAAAGUUUAUAAAUAUAGUAUGUGAUUGUAAUGUAUGUGGAAUCUUGCAUGUUGAACAGUGAAAGUUGUUAAGUAUUUUCAAAUUGAUGUUUAUUGCAACAAGGAAUUUGGCUAUAGCGAAAAUGGAUUCUCGCUGCAGCCAAAAACCCUCAAGUGAUGGUGCAUUAUUGUCACUUUGAAAGAGAUUUUGACCACCUUUCCAUCAGAAAUAGGCAAAGUGGUAAACACUAAAGUCGUAGCCCUACCUCUUAGCUUUCUAAUGACUAAACAAGCAUGUCAAUUGGACUUCUUUAGUGGGAUAUAUUCUUGAAAAACCAAAACAUAUGCAAACCGAGAAUGCCUUUUGCUGCAGCGAGAAACGUGUUGUCACAUUGCUACCUUGCUCGAUUUUUUGAUAUAAUUUUUCUUCACUCUUUUAUCUUCAUGAUUGAGCAUGGGUCUUUGCAACACUAAGAGUUUAUUUACCAAUGCUCGAAACACGGGGUUUAAGGAAGAAAUUAAACUAAACUGCAUUGUUUUCAAAACAAGUGCAUCAUGAUUUUUAAAUUUUCCUUAUCAAUUGCUUGUUCCCUUCCUAUGUUCACUCACUGAGUUCAUACUCACAGUUUUCAACUUCAUGUUUUUCAGAUCAGGAGGCAGUUAGAACCUAGGUCAAGGUGUCCACGUGGACUCAUCUCUUUAGUAGGUAUCUCGGCAUUCAAUAGUUGUACCUUUGCCAAGGUCACUCCGCUGGAAGUCGAGUGUCUUUAUGCUAUAUAUAUAGAUAAACGAAAUGUAAAAUUUUAAGAUGCUUGUCUUAGACAAUAUAUAUGUAUAUAUAUACUUUGAAUGGUAACGCCAUUAUGAGUUGGCGAUGGUUAGCACCAUUUUGGGGUAAUAUAUAUAUAUAUACAUGC